CGAUAUAUGUUAUACAAGUAUCUAUAGCAUCAAGUCAUAGGGUUGGCAAGUGUAUUAUUGAACCUUCAAAGCAGUAACGCAUACGGAAGAGUAGUUUCUGAUCCCAUAGAAGGAGCACAGUACAAUGAGAGACGGCUCUUAGUUCUAAGGAACGCACCAG
This 160-nucleotide ribosomal RNA is filed under the name Foraminifera environmental sample. Its description in RNAcentral is "partial Eukaryotic small subunit ribosomal RNA". Lineage: Eukaryota; Foraminifera. The record is from RNAcentral.